CAGAUCUUAAGGAAGAAAGGAAAUUUCUGGGUCAUGGGCCUAUAGGUGUUCACUGACAUGUUGCCCACCAAGGUGGCUUUUCCAGUUUAGAUUUCAACCAAUGAUCAGAACAUGUCUCGUGGAAGGAUUACCUGAGGAAAGGAGAUCUUCCCUCAGAGUAGAGAGCCCUUCUGGUGGCAGCCUAUAUAUGAAGAUGUUUCAGGGGCGAAAAACAGGAAUACAUCUUUGCCUGGCUGCCUUUGCCACUUGCUGACAGUGCAUCUACCCCAUUGCUGCCAUCGGUCACUGACAUUAGCACCCAGCCUUUUUAGCUUUCCAAUACAGACUGAAGACCAGUAACUCCAGGAAUCCUCCAGAUGUGCUGUGCCAGAUUAGAACCUAGGCAUCCAGCCUCAUGGACUGAGCAGCUACUGGGUUCUCAGCCUCUCCAUUCUGCAGACUGUCAUUGUCAGACUAUCCAGCCAGGAUUGUGUAAACCAGUCUAAUAAAACCUUUUUAUAAUAUA
This is a long non-coding RNA of Jaculus jaculus (lesser Egyptian jerboa), 505 nucleotides long. RefSeq lists it as uncharacterized. The record is from RefSeq and is a predicted model, not a curated record. The transcript is spliced from 2 exons. Lineage: Eukaryota; Metazoa; Chordata; Mammalia; Rodentia; Dipodidae.